GCAAGUCGAGCGGCAGCACUUCGGGUGGCAAGCGGCGAACGGGUGAGUAGUAGUUAGCAACUUGCCCUCCAGACGGGAAUAGCCACCGUAAUGGUGAUUAAUGCCCGAUAUGAGGAAACCUUGAAAGGUGCGUUUGUACCACUGGAGGAAUAGGGCUAACCCCUAUUAGCUUGUUGGUAGAGUAAUAGCCUACCAAGGCGAUGAUAGGUAGCCGGCCUGAGAGGGUGAUC
RNAcentral lists this ribosomal RNA (230 nucleotides) under uncultured bacterium. Its description in RNAcentral is "partial 16S ribosomal RNA". It matches the Rfam family "Bacterial small subunit ribosomal RNA", at positions 57 to 305 of the family's 1533-position model. The record is from RNAcentral.